This 303-nucleotide ribosomal RNA is filed under the name Triticum aestivum (bread wheat). RNAcentral describes it as "partial small subunit ribosomal RNA". Lineage: Eukaryota; Viridiplantae; Streptophyta; Magnoliopsida; Poales; Poaceae. The record is from RNAcentral.
AUGCUACUUCAUCAUCCUUUGGACUUGUGCGAUAUUGAUUUUGGAGAAAACAAAAGAUACCAAGUCAUAUACUUAGCAAAUAUGGCUUUGAGGAUGAAUCAGGAAGAUGAAAAAGAAAGGGUCUACAAGCAGACAAGCAGUGACCAUGGGAACAGAGGAAAGCAUAAAAAGUCCCAACUAAGAUUAGAGGCUGAGGUUAUUAUUUUCUCUUAUUUUCUGGCACAAUAUCCUUGGCAGACAAACAAGAGCCAACUUCAGUGUUUAGUUGAUCUUUUUGUCUUGCACGAUUUCUGGGCUCAUUGA